RNAcentral lists this ribosomal RNA (441 nucleotides) under uncultured Sphingomonas sp. Its description in RNAcentral is "bacterial SSU rRNA". It matches the Rfam family "Bacterial small subunit ribosomal RNA", at positions 107 to 583 of the family's 1533-position model. The record is from RNAcentral. Lineage: Bacteria; Pseudomonadati; Pseudomonadota; Alphaproteobacteria; Sphingomonadales; Sphingomonadaceae.
UGCGUAACGCGUGGGAAUCUGCCCUUAGGUACGGAAUAACUCAGGGAAACUUGAGCUAAUACCGUAUAAUGACUCCGGUCCAAAGAUUUAUCGCCUGAGGAUGAGCCCGCGUCGGAUUAGCUAGUUGGUGAGGUAAAGGCUCACCAAGGCGACGAUCCGUAGCUGGUCUGAGAGGAUGAUCAGCCACACUGGGACUGAGACACGGCCCAGACUCCUACGGGAGGCAGCAGUGGGGAAUAUUGGACAAUGGGCGCAAGCCUGAUCCAGCAAUGCCGCGUGAGUGAUGAAGGCCUUAGGGUUGUAAAGCUCUUUUACCCGGGAAGAUAAUGACUGUACCGGGACAAUAAGCCCCGGCUAACUCCGUGCCAGCAGACGCGGUAAUACGGAGGGGGCUAGCGUAGUUCGGAAUUACUGGGCGUAAAGCGCACGUAGGCGGAUUUG